AGGAGGAGCUGUGUGUGCAAUCUGAGCAGGGAUGGAUUUAUUUCGUGCAUCAGAUACAUCUGCAGCGCUCACUUGUUACUCCACAGCCAAAGCUGUGUUUAAAUCAGGCCUUUUAAAGCCUAAAACCUGCUACAAAAUUUCCCCCCUCCAAACAAUCUAGUUAAUUAACCAGCUAACUCAGCUCUGGCUGGCUCUCCCUGCAAAUACCCCAUCCUCAACAAGAUUUUUCCUUAGAUUUGGAUGAAAUGCAAUGAUUGAGUCAUGACUUUUUUCCCUGGCUCAGUUGCUGGAGCAGGGAAUGUUGUUCACAAUACUGGCUGUUGCCAUAUGCUUUUUUCAUCAAGUUAAAGGGUGCAACUUUCUUUUUUGCUUCCCCCUCCACUGACUCACUCCCCAAAUAUGUUUCUGGUUAGGAUGCAUUGUGACUUCUUCCUGACAUAAGGUUUUCUAGUUUGCAGGCAGCUUGGGGAAUCGCCUCUGUGAGUUCUAAAACAUCCCAGCUCCCGGGAGAAGUGUCCUGGAGAGAAGGAGCAGCAGGAUGCUUACCUGGGUGCUUGCAGUCUUUGGGAGCUCUCCUGCCACAGAAAAGGUUUUCCAGAAGCCUGGAAGUCCCACUUGGAGUGAGAUGCUGCCUGUGAAGGAUCUUGGAGGGACAGCCAGACUUGUCCCUCCUGGAAUUCCUUUAAGGCCACCUUGUGCUGAUCCCCAGACCUUCCCCACUGAUGCCAAAUUCCCUUGGAAAAGUGCUGCUGUCGCUGUUUUUUCUUGUCCUGGCUCUGUCACCAUCCGGUGUCAAAGCUUGGGAGAUGGAAGAGGAGGAGGCAGAGGUGUUUCCUUGCAAGGAGCAAAUGUUGGAAGAACCCAUCCUUGUUCAGCUGGCUGCAUUUCCAGUGUCCCAAACGCACUGGAGAGCUGGAAGCAAAGCCUGGCCACUCCACAGCCCUGCAAGGAAGGACAGAGGCUUGGGAAAAAUACCCUGGCAGUACAACCUCAUGGAUUUUCCCUUUAAGGAAAAAAAAAUAUGGAGGAUGUUUCCUAUCCUGCUGCCAUGGGCUUUGGCUUCUCCUCCCACCCUCCCAGGGCCGCGUCUCUCGGCGCAUUCCUCCGCGUCGGAACCUCCGCCUUGCUAUCUAAGGAGCUGAAGGAUAUUUCCAACCCAGCCCUGCCAGAAAAUCCUGGCAGCCACCUCCAUCUCCCGUCCUCCUGCACACACAUCCAGCUCCUCGAGCGCUCUGAUUCCCUGCCGUGUUCAAACGACCGUCACUGACAGGCAGCUCUCCAUCCAGCAGGUUAUUUUCUUUCCUGGCUGGAGGGGUUUUUUUCCCCUUUUCCAAGCCCCAGCUGGUUCCUGCAGUUUCUUCUCCUAGUGGCUGGUUGGACUCUUCCUGCUGAGUGUCCAUGCUGAGAUUUACCUGCAAGUGGGACUGGAGCAAGGCUGUGCCUGGCAUUAACUUCAACCCAGCUUUGCAGAGAAUGGCAGAAUCCCAGAAUGGUUUAGAAGGGACCUUAAAGAUCACCUGGUUCCAACGCUGCUGCCAUGGACAGGGCUGCCACAUGAAGCUGGAAUGAAGCUGCUGCAGCUCCAGCAUCCUCCAGUUCAAACAAUGAGCUGUCAAAAGGCUUUUCUGGCAUCGAGUGGGCACAGCGACCACCCAGGAUUCUUUUUUCUGGCUUUUAAAACCCUCUGAUGGUGGGGUGACUCCUUCAUUCCCUCACAUCUGAACAGCCUCCCCAAAGAGCCACUCUGAGUGUUUCUCCAGGUGAUCUGUCCAUUGCUUUUUGCCCAUCCUUUGUGGAAAAGCAAAACAAGGCAUUUCCUCCCUCUUCCAUCCCUCCCUCCCUAGACAAACCCUCUUUUAUCUACCUGAAGAUGUUAUCAUCAUUCUUUCUUUCUCCGGGGUAAACAGCCUGAAUUCUUUGAACCUUUCCUCACUGGUCACUCUCCUGCCCCACCAGGAUCUGCUGAGGAACUGGGGGUGCUCAGCAGGGCUCUCCAUGAGCCCCCCUGGCCCUUAUUUUGCAGGGAACGUGGGGCUGCACCAGGAGCACCACAGGACCCUUGGCUGCAGAUACCAUGUGUCUUCCAGGAGCUCACAAAUCACCCCCAUUUCACGGGAUUUGGGGGAUUCCCAACACGAUUGCCCAUCCCCAGCCAGCUGAAAGCUCACCUCCCUUUCCUCGGGGAGCUGCUGAUGGCUUCAGAGCGCUCAGACGAAGUUCAUCCCACCCAGCUGAUUCAAUAACAUCGACCUGAUUAAGCCACUUUGCCCUGCUCUGUCUCUAUUUUUCCAGCACUAACUGCAUUACCAUCCCUCUCUUUCCGGUGAAGGCUGGAGCUGGAAAAGCACGAAGCCAUGCAGCUGUCUGGGCAUCAUCCAUCUCCCCCUUCCCCCAGAACAACAGGUUCCUGAACCUGCUGCAGCUUCUCAGGGCAUCUCAGGUGUCAGAGGGGCAAAUAAACGGUGUCAACCCCUUCA
Long non-coding RNA from Chloebia gouldiae (Gouldian finch), 2477 nucleotides. NCBI's taxonomy places the organism in Eukaryota, Metazoa, Chordata, Aves, Passeriformes, Passeridae. The record is from Ensembl.